AUUGAACGCUGGCGGCAGGCCUAACACAUGCAAGUCGAGCGGCAGCGGGAAAGUAGCUUGCUACUUUUGCCGGCGAGCGGCGGACGGGUGAGUAAUGCCUGGGGAUCUGCCCAAUCGAGGGGGAUAACUACUGGAAACGGUAGCUAAUACCGCAUACGCGCUACGGGGGAAAGCAGGGGACCUUCGGGCCUUGCGCGAUUGGAUGAACCCAGGUGGGAUUAGCUAGUUGGUGGGGUAAUGGCUCACCAAGGCGACGAUCCCUAGCUGGUCUGAGAGGAUGAUCAGCCACACUGGAACUGAGACACGGUCCAGACUCCUACGGGAGGCAGCAGUGGGGAAUAUUGCACAAUGGGGGAAACCCUGAUGCAGCCAUGCCGCGUGUGUGAAGAAGGCCUUCGGGUUGUAAAGCACUUUCAGCGAGGAGGAAAGGUUGGUAGCUAAUAACUGCCAGCUGUGACGUUACUCGCAGAAGAAGCGCCGGCUAACUCCGUGCCAGCCGCCGCCGUAA
RNAcentral lists this ribosomal RNA (508 nucleotides) under uncultured bacterium. Its description in RNAcentral is "partial 16S ribosomal RNA". It matches the Rfam family "Bacterial small subunit ribosomal RNA", at positions 29 to 523 of the family's 1533-position model. The record is from RNAcentral.